AGCAGCCGCGGUAAUUCCAGCUCCAAUAGCGUAUAUUAAAGUUGUUGCAGUUAAAAAGCUCGUAGUUGAAUUUCGGGGUUAGUAGGUUGGUCAUGCCUCUGGUAUGUACCGGUCUCACUGAUUCCUCCUUCCUGAUAAACCUUAAUGCCAUUAAUUUGGUGUUUUGGGGAAUUUGGACUGUUACUUUGAAAAAAUUAGAGUGUUUAAAGCAAGCUAACGCUUGAAUACAUUAGCAUGGAAUAAUGAAAUAGGACGUUCGAUCCUAUUUUGUUGGUUUCUAGGAUUGACGUAAUGAUUAAUAGGGAUAGUUGGGGGCAUUAGUAUUCAAUUGUCAGAGGUGAAAUUCUUGGAUUUAUUGAAGACUAACUACUGCGAAAGCAUUUGCCAAGGAUGUUUUCAUUAAUCAAGAACGAAAGUUAGGGGAUCGAAGACGAUCAGAUACCGUCGUAGUCUUAACCAUAAACUAUGCCGACUAGGGAUCGGAUGAUGUUAAUUUUUUAAUGACUCAUUCGGCGCCUUACG
RNAcentral lists this ribosomal RNA (522 nucleotides) under uncultured Glomus. RNAcentral describes it as "SSU rRNA". It matches the Rfam family "Eukaryotic small subunit ribosomal RNA", at positions 569 to 1092 of the family's 1831-position model. Lineage: Eukaryota; Fungi; Glomeromycota; Glomeromycetes; Glomerales; Glomeraceae. The record is from RNAcentral.